Molecule: unclassified non-coding RNA, 294 nt
Organism: Aotus nancymaae (Ma's night monkey)
Lineage: Eukaryota; Metazoa; Chordata; Mammalia; Primates; Aotidae
Rfam family: Metazoan signal recognition particle RNA
About the family: The signal recognition particle (SRP) is a universally conserved ribonucleoprotein. It is involved in the co-translational targeting of proteins to membranes.
Source: Ensembl
GCCAGACAUGUUGGAAUGCAUCUGUAGUCCUACCUACUUGGGAAGCUGAGGUGGGAGUACUGCUUGGGCCCAGGAGUUCUAGGUUGUAGUGCACUAUGCUGGUCAGGUGUCCACACUAAGUUCAGUAGCAAUAUGGUGACCUCCUGGGAAUGAGAGACCAUCAGGUUGCCUAAGAAGGGGUCAAACAGCCCAGGUCGGAAUGGAGCAGGUUCAAAACUUCAUGCUGAUCAAUAGUGGGAUCGUAUCUGUGAACAGCCACUGCACUCCAGCCUGGGCAACAGAGUCCUCGUCUAU